CUUGCUUGCAAUGCAGAGGGAGCGAAAUGAAAGAUAACAAAGAAUAGUAUGGAGCAGUCUAGUCAGUAAGUUGGACGUCUCAGCGUAAGGAGGAGGAGAGGGCCACACUUUAAGUGACAGGUGUUUUCAAGAAGUUUAUUCUGUAAUGCUUCAACCUGAAUGACAUCAGCACAACACCCAGGACUGAACGUUGAGCAGGACCAAGUGUGGCUGUAAGGACUGGAAGCAGAUGUCUUGUCCCAUCAGGUACAUUUCAGCUUCUCUUCAACUACAGAGAAACACCGAGGCCACAGACAAAUCUGUUGUGAGGGCUGCAGAAAUCCACUGCAGCUGCUCGUGGCCAUCAUUCCAAGAGUUUUUUUGGCACUUUCCUGGAUGCAACGUUGGCCUUUGGAAGCCCUUUGGGAUCAUUUUCAUGCUGCGCUCUGCUAACUGAUUGCAGUCUUGAGCCAACUCUGUAAACCUUACACUAAAAUAAAAUGCAAAUACACAACA
Molecule: long non-coding RNA, 495 nt
Filed under: Apteryx owenii (little spotted kiwi)
Lineage: Eukaryota; Metazoa; Chordata; Aves; Apterygiformes; Apterygidae
Description: lncRNA (ENSAOWG00000014950.1)
Source: RNAcentral